GAAAAUGAGAGUUUGAUCCUGGCUCAGGACGAACGCUGGCGGCGUGCCUAAUACAUGCAAGUCGAGCGAGCUUGCCUAGAUGAUUUUAGUGCUUGCACUAAAUGAAACUAGAUACAAGCGAGCGGCGGACGGGUGAGUAACACGUGGGUAACCUGCCCAAGAGACUGGGAUAACACCUGGAAACAGAUGCUAAUACCGGAUAACAACACUAGACGCAUGUCUAGAGUUUGAAAGAUGGUUCUGCUAUCACUCUUGGAUGGACCUGCGGUGCAUUAGCUAGUUGGUAAGGUAACGGCUUACCAAGGCAAUGAUGCAUAGCCGAGUUGAGAGACUGAUCGGCCACAUUGGGACUGAGACACGGCCCAAACUCCUACGGGAGGCAGCAGUAGGGAAUCUUCCACAAUGGACGAAAGUCUGAUGGAGCAACGCCGCGUGAGUGAAGAAGGGUUUCGGCUCGUAAAGCUCUGUUGGUAGUGAAGAAAGAUAGAGGUAGUAACUGGCCUUUAUUUGACGGUAAUUACUUAGAAAGUCACGGCUAACUACGUGCCAGCAGCCGCGGUAAUACGUAGGUGGCAAGCGUUGUCCGGAUUUAUUGGGCGUAAAGCGAGUGCAGGCGGUUCAAUAAGUCUGAUGUGAAAGCCUUCGGCUCAACCGGAGAAUUGCAUCAGAAACUGUUGAACUUGAGUGCAGAAGAGGAGAGUGGAACUCCAUGUGUAGCGGUGGAAUGCGUAGAUAUAUGGAAGAACACCAGUGGCGAAGGCGGCUCUCUGGUCUGCAACUGACGCUGAGGCUCGAAAGCAUGGGUAGCGAACAGGAUUAGAUACCCUGGUAGUCCAUGCCGUAAACGAUGAGUGCUAAGUGUUGGGAGGUUUCCGCCUCUCAGUGCUGCAGCUAACGCAUUAAGCACUCCGCCUGGGGAGUACGACCGCAAGGUUGAAACUCAAAGGAAUUGACGGGGGCCCGCAC
This 966-nucleotide ribosomal RNA is filed under the name Limosilactobacillus reuteri. RNAcentral describes it as "bacterial SSU rRNA". It matches the Rfam family "Bacterial small subunit ribosomal RNA", at positions 1 to 926 of the family's 1533-position model. Lineage: Bacteria; Bacillati; Bacillota; Bacilli; Lactobacillales; Lactobacillaceae. The record is from RNAcentral.